Long non-coding RNA from Nicotiana attenuata, 1389 nucleotides. RefSeq lists it as uncharacterized. The transcript is spliced from 4 exons. The record is from RefSeq and is a predicted model, not a curated record. Lineage: Eukaryota; Viridiplantae; Streptophyta; Magnoliopsida; Solanales; Solanaceae.
CAAUUGCUUUAACACACACCACCACUGGGCGAGUCCAUAUGCACCGUUCCAGUUUCACGGAUUGGUGAACCAAAAAUACUGCCAAUUCUCGAGGCAAUGAGAAACGUCUUACGCGAAAAACUCACAGCAGAGACGGUUUUACUUUUUUUUUUGGAGAGGGAGGUGAAACUAUGAAAAUUUUUCAUUCAUUCAAUUCGCAUUGCUGGAACAAAAGGCAAAGGAGCCACUGCUUCAUUCCUCUCCAAAUUGUUGAAUGCAGAAGGCUACUUUGUUGCUAUACUAGGUACUAUAUUUGGAAGACUGCCCUCCAAAAAAGUAUUCUUUGCAUGAUAUGCUGCUUGGAUACUAGCUCGUGAAAGGAAGCGCCAUCAUGAGUUGGUAUUGUAUGUGGAAGCAGGGUGAAGAAGACACUAAUGUGAGCUUGGAUCGGAGCUAUAGAGUUUAAGGUGUUUCCUAUUUAAUUCUAAAACAGUUGCAGAGAUCCUGUUGAGAGGUUGAGAAUGGGGAGAGAGGAGGAAAAUGUGUAGGCUAGAACCUUAUGCAUUUUAUGAAUGAUACAUUGAUAUGGAGAGGUUCUCAUGCAUCUAUCAAGCUGGUCUGGAAAGUGCAUUUUUUGCUAGGCAGAAGCCAAGUCUUGAGUUCGAAGAAGCGACUAGAUUAGGAUUACCUGCGCCACAAUACUGCUUAAUGGAGGUUGGAUCUGAUGAUUUCAGCAUCGCUUAUGCAAUAUUCAUGUGAUUUUUUGCAUGCACAGCCAUGGAAACCUACAACGAUAUGCAUUUGUUUUCAAGGGUUGUUUUCAGUCUUUAAGAACUGGAUAAUGAUGAGGAAUUUGGUCAACACAAUGGAAUGUGCCAGGGCUGUAGCAAACACUUCCUGAUGACAUUUCCGAAGGCAAAAUUGGUUAUUGUGGUUGUAAUGGAAAUGACAAAAUUCAUGUAGGAUUUGCAACGAAGUGCUCUCAGAGUUGAGGAAGGGGGCUUGAACUAGCAGCAUAAAAGCAGUCCUCCAACCGUUACAGGGAAGGAUGGGGACAGGACAUCCAAAUGGGACAUGGAAAUCUAUAUAGCAAUCAAGGUUGCAGUAUAUGCUAACUAAUGCAUCACCCCCUCUGCCCUUAACAAGACAUUCAUUUCCCUAUUGGAGUACUAAGCUUUACUUACUUCCACUUGGACAAAAAAUAAAAAUAGAAAAAGAGAAUACGAUAACUACCUUAUUAUGGUUGGGCCGCCAACUUUUGAAAUAGAAUUGCAAUUGUCUAUGAAAAUGAAUGAGCUCAAAUUUGGAAAUCCUUAGAUAGUGGGAAAACUGAAAAGUUGGUGAUAUGCACAAUGUAUCAAUUACAUCUCAAUUUCAAACUAAUUUAGAUUGUUUAUAUGAAUUAAUUUA